Molecule: ribosomal RNA, 180 nt
Filed under: uncultured bacterium
Lineage: Bacteria
Description: partial 16S ribosomal RNA
Rfam family: Bacterial small subunit ribosomal RNA
Source: RNAcentral
CAGACUCCUACGGGAGGCAGCAGUGAGGAAUAUUGGUCAAUGGGCGAGAGCCUGAACCAGCCAAGUAGCGUGCAGGAUGACGGCCCUAUGGGUUGUAAAACUGCUUUUAUAAGGGAAUAAAGUGAGUCUCGUGAGACUUUUUGCAUGUACCUUAUGAAUAAGGACCGGCUAAUUCCGUGC